This 465-nucleotide ribosomal RNA is filed under the name uncultured bacterium. Its description in RNAcentral is "partial 16S ribosomal RNA". It matches the Rfam family "Bacterial small subunit ribosomal RNA", at positions 28 to 507 of the family's 1533-position model. The record is from RNAcentral.
GACGAACGCUGGCGGCGUGCUUAACACAUGCAAGUCGAACGGAAAGGCCCUGCUUGCAGGGUACUCGAGUGGCGAACGGGUGAGUAACACGUGGGUGAUCUGCCCUGCACUUCGGGAUAAGCCUGGGAAACUGGGUCUAAUACCGGAUAGGAGCCAUUUUUAGUGUGAUGGUUGGAAAGUUUUUUCGGUGUAGGAUGAGCUCGCGGCCUAUCAGCUUGUUGGUGGGGUAAUGGCCUACCAAGGCGGCGACGGGUAGCCGGCCUGAGAGGGUGGACGGCCACAUUGGGACUGAGAUACGGCCCAGACUCCUACGGGAGGCAGCAGUGGGGAAUAUUGCACAAUGGGCGCAAGCCUGAUGCAGCGGCGCCGCGGGGGGGAUGACGGCCUUCGGGUUGUAAACUCCUUUCGCUAGGGACGAAGCUUUUUGUGACGGUACCUAGAUAAGAAGCACCGGCUAACUACGUG